ACGCUCGACACCUACGGGAGGCAGCAGUGGGGAAUAUUGCACAAUGGGGGAAACCCUGAUGCAGCGACGCCGCGUGAGUGAAGAAGUAUUUCGGUAUGUAAAGCUCUAUCAGCAGGGAAGAAGAUGACGGUACCUGAGUAAGAAGCCCCGGCUAACUACGUGCCGGCAGCCGCGGUAAUCUGAGCGGGCUGGCAAGGC
This 198-nucleotide ribosomal RNA is filed under the name uncultured bacterium. RNAcentral describes it as "partial 16S ribosomal RNA". It matches the Rfam family "Bacterial small subunit ribosomal RNA", at positions 328 to 539 of the family's 1533-position model. The record is from RNAcentral.